RNAcentral lists this ribosomal RNA (497 nucleotides) under uncultured bacterium. Its description in RNAcentral is "partial 16S ribosomal RNA". It matches the Rfam family "Bacterial small subunit ribosomal RNA", at positions 28 to 507 of the family's 1533-position model. The record is from RNAcentral.
GAUGAACGCUGGCGGCGUGCCUAAUACAUGCGAGUCGAGCGAACAGAUGAGGAGCUUGCUCCUCUGACGUUAGCGGCGGACGGGUGAGUAACACGUGGAUAACCUACCUAUAAGACUGGGAUAACUUCGGGAAACCGGAGCUAAUACCGGAUAAUAUAUUGAACUGCAUGGUUCAAUAGUGAAAGACGGUUUUGCUGUCACUUAUAGAUGGAUCCGCGCCGCAUUAGCUAGUUGGUAAGGUAACGGCUUACCAAGGCAACGAUGCGUAGCCGACCUGAGAGGGUGAUCGGCCACACUGGAACUGAGACACGGUCCAGACUCCUACGGGAGGCAGCAGUAGGGAAUCUUCCGCAAUGGGCGAAAGCCUGACGGAGCAACGCCGCGUGAGUGAUGAAGGUCUUCGGAUCGUAAAACUCUGUUAUUAGGGAAGAACAAAUGUGUAAGUAACUAUGCACGUCUUGACGGUACCUAAUCAGAAAGCCACGGCUAACUACGUG